GUGCGGAAGAGAGCGGAGCGAGGCUGACUCCCAGCUCUGACCCCAGCUGCUCUGGUGCUGAAAGCCUCGGCUCCCGUCCUGGCCCUCAUCUGCACUGACAGCUGCUUCUAGGUCCUGGAGCAUCCUCUCCCGUUCUCGUUCAGGCACCAUCUGCUUCCUUCCAUCUGCUUCCUUCAGAGACCCUGACCAAUGGCCCAGGCUCCUCUCUGGGUUCACAGCAUUCGCCAGCAUUAGAAGCACAUCCUUCAAGACUCCCCAUUUCCAAGAAUCCUCACCAGAUUGCCCUUAAAAUACACGUCUGGACUGACUUUCCGCACACCAUUUAGCCUGUGUCAUCCUCUCCCUCUCACUCCGGACAUCAAUCCAUCCCCAAUACUCUGCCCACCAGCCCAGGGCGGGUGCAAGCUCUCCCUAAACCCCCUCUGUGCUUCCCUCAACAGCUAGCACAAGUCGUAUGCUCUCAGAAGAAGUUUGAGAGACCAAUAAACAUUCCCUCCCUUGCUCACACCCAGAGAACAUCACUUCAGCACUUCUGCUUGAAACACCAACGGUUUUUCACACUGACCUUUUCUCAGUCCAUGACUCUCAAGAGGGGCUGGCCUGGGCAUGUGCCUGCCAUGGUCUCUCCCCCACAGUCCACCAGGGAAUGCAGAGCAACACAGAAGACUGAGCCUCAGCUCCUUUCCAUCCAAGACUGUCCACGCCGUCAGCCUGCAGCAGGAAUUUUCUGCACCAUGCCAGUCAGCGCCCAUUCUUGAGUCAACUACCCACGAGGCUGUCAAAGGACUUCCAAGGCAGUGUGACUAAUGGAA
Bubalus bubalis (water buffalo) is the source of this 812-nucleotide long non-coding RNA. RefSeq lists it as uncharacterized. The transcript has 3 exons. The record is from RefSeq and is a predicted model, not a curated record. Lineage: Eukaryota; Metazoa; Chordata; Mammalia; Artiodactyla; Bovidae.